RNAcentral lists this long non-coding RNA (6185 nucleotides) under Daucus carota (carrot). RNAcentral describes it as "long non-coding RNA (DCAR_LNC003537)". Lineage: Eukaryota; Viridiplantae; Streptophyta; Magnoliopsida; Apiales; Apiaceae. The record is from RNAcentral.
UUUUGUAAAUGUUUUCAAAGUGGUGUUUUAAGAGUUUAAGUAUUGGGCUAAAAAAAAAUUUUGAUUUACACAUAUUCGGUUGAAUUCUAGAUUGCUGUUGAUCUGUUUUGAAUUACAACUCUGGGAUCAUAGAGUUGAAUUAUAUGCUUAAUAUUUGUGUGGUUAUGUGCUCCUUAGAGUCUAGUUUAUGUGCGCGAAAGAACCGAAUCGAUUCGAUUAGCGAGCUAGGAGAUAUGACCGUUUUAGUAUAGUAUGGUGCUGAAAAUUCUGGGCAGGUUUGUCCUGUUCCAGGCUCUGUUUUACAGCUUUAAACUUGGAUUUUCUUUCUGAAAAUUUUACUGUAGGUUGGAAUAAUAUUUAGGAGUGUCUCAUAAAAAUUUCGUAUUAAAAAGAUAAUUUUUCAAUUUAUUAAAAAUCAUAGACCGAGGGCUGUUUGAACUAUUUGUUCUAUUUUUCUUUCUUUGCUAGUGCAUAGUAUGAGGUUAUACUUGACUAAUUGCAUAUGAUUGAUUAUUACAUUGAUUGGCUCGGUUAACCUUGUAUAUCUAAUUAAAAGUGUUUUGCGUAUAACAAGUUAGCAAUCCUGCUAAAAGAUUUUAUUAUAUGUUUACUACAAGUCAAGACAGAUUUUCUUAUGUGUUUACUGCAAGUCAAGGGAUCUUUUUAUAUUAAUAAUUCAUGUGUUAGCAAUAGUAUUGGUUGGUUGUUGGCAUUGCAAACAGGUGGAUAAGCUUAUAAACAGAGGAGAUGCUGCCGAAUUUUCGUUAGAAAUUAUAUGGAUUUAAUGCCUAUAAAAAGGGUUGUUUGUACAACUAUGUGCUAUGUGUUUAUGUGACUGUGGUAUGUAUAUGCGAAGGGUAGAUAUAUAUAUAGGUCUUAAUGCAAUUCAGGGUUAGUCAAUAUGUCUAAUCCGACGACUGAAAUACUAUUUUAUCAUCGUAUAGAAUUGAAGACAUUGACCGAGGCAUUAAUCGAGAAGUGAUUGAAAGGGGUAUUCAGAAAUAGCCAAGCAGAAUGUUACAAGUUGAAGUAGGACGGAGAUUUGUUAUAGAUAAAAGUGUGUCAGAAGCUGGCAGAAAGGAAUGAUUAUGCGGUAUAUAGUGUUACUAGGAAUCUGAGCUAAACUUUGGAGUUAAGGCAAGUACUUCUACCUUCUCUCGCAAUUUAGAAGCAAGUAUUUCUACCCUACUCCUCUAGUACCUAUAGAUACUAAAACCUUCUUUAUAUCAUGAUUCAAAUUAUUUGCAAUUACUUUCUUGUGAAGCAUAUCUAGUACUUUUAAACUUUUUGGUUGAACGGAUAACACUUUUGGUAUCAACUCUACACUAUGAUAUGCAUAAAGAAAUUGUUUUAACAAAAUGUUAUUCUGGCUCUUGAAUUACAUGAUGGAACUGCAGAUUGUUUUAAAAAUUAAACUAUUGGGUUGUUUUUGCGUAAGAGGCUCGGGCACCGGCCCAGCGUGAAAGGUGGCUCCUUAAGCCCGGAUUACCGGAAUUCGUAAUAUUUGUCAACCUUGCUGAAUAAGCUUGGUUUAUGGACUAUAGCAUGACUGAUCAUCUGUUAUAGCCAGGUGUCCAAUUAUUUUUAAAGCCCAAUAAAAUUGUGAAUAGUUUAAAAAGAAGUUACCCUGCCUUCAAGAGAUAUUUGCUUAUACAUUCAUUUCUGCAGUUUUAAAUAUUUUCACUUCUUUAUUAUGGCAUUGCUGUACAACAAAUAUCAAUUUCAUUUUGUUAUUCUUGCUGAGCAUUAUUGCUCAUUCUUGCUAUUCCUUCUAACCCUUUUCAGCUAGGAAUAAAGAUGAUUCACUUAAGACUAGGCAAGGAUUGCAAGUGGUUGAGUUUCAAGCAGAUGGACAGGUAGAGUAUUUAGGACGAUGUCAUUAAGACUAGAUGCAGUUGGAGUUCUGCAAUUCAAUUCAGUUGGAAAUUAGAUUUGUUUAUUUGGUUAUCAGCUACUCUUCUUAUCGAGGUUUAGCUGAUAAUGUUGUUUAAUUUGUAAAUAAGAUUUUAUAGUUUUAGUUUCUGAUUUCAAUGCUGUAGCCUGUAUGCGAUCCUGUUUUCAGGGGGUGAAAUUGAUUUUGAAUUAAAGACCUUCUUUUAAAAAAAAAAAAUAUCCAGGUUUAGAAAUACUUGUUUUUACUUUCUUCCAAAAAUACAGGUUUUAAAUUGUUUUUCUUUUAAUGGCUCAAAACUACAGGUUUUAAAUUAUUUUUAUUUACACGUGGCACCAGAUCUAGACCCCCGGAUUUGAGGGAUGUCACAGUUGGUAUCAGAGCUACAGGUUAUAAGUUAUUGAAAUCAGAAUGUAGGUUGUAACUUGUCUAAUAAGAUAGACACGUUAAGUGAAACCUCACAUAUAGGUAAGUUCAGAUUAGUGGUGUAACCUCAUAUAGAGGUAUCGUAAGACUAUUUGGGGAUAGUCCUUUUGAGCAUAAUAAAAUGAAGCUAAACGAUUAUGUUUAAGUGAUUAUGGUUAUAGACACAACAAUUCCUAAUUCUAGUUCUUCCAGUCCCUAGUGGCCUAGUUUAUUGACCAAUUCAGAUUUAUAUCAUUGUAAGAGGGUCAAAGUUAGACCUAUCAACAGAACCUUCAAGCUAGAACCAGUAGAGAUUCUCACACAGUCUAAUGUAUCCUUUAUAGUAUCUUCCAAGUGUUGAGUAUUAUUUGAAGAGUCACCUUUUGAUUCUUGUCAGAGAUAUCUAGAAUUGGUGAAAGAAUAGAGGUGUUAACAAGUCCGAGUUUACAGCUUUGUAUAUAGUUAAGUAGUGAGCGUUAGAGCUACGUAGAGUUCGUGUUAGAUUAUUCGAUCUAGUACUUAUGUGUGAGUUAAGACGUCAACGCUCUAUGGUGAUGAUUGUAUAAAGUUGGAUAAGACUUUUGACCGACAACGAUAUCAAUGAUGGGAUCUUCAGAGGCUAUUACUAGUCAACGAUAAUAUAUGCAAGUGGUCACUAAAACGUCAAGAAGAAUCACUAGAAUCAGAACGAGUCAUCAAAAGAAUCGAUCAAGAAGACAUCUGUGAGAAUCCUGGCAAUACCUUCCUCAUUGUUGAUAUAUUGAUUUCUUUCCCCAUCAAUGAUUUGUUCUGACAUCACUUAAAAAAAAAAAUAUUUGAUAAAGAGUAUAUUUUUACCUUUCACUCGAGUUCUCGAAUGAUACUUGUGCUUACUGUCAGACCUAUAGAAUCUAUUCAAUCUUGGUAAUUUCGAACCCUUUCAUAUUCUCUACUCUAACUGAGAUGAACAACCCUACCUAUAGGGGACACAAGGACUACCUGUCUGUGUGAUAGGAGUUGGAUGGGACGCCAUCACUUGUGUGUGUUGUACAUUACAAGAAGGUUAACUACCUUUAGUAGUGUCUUAAAUUAGACACGCAACACCGAGUUCUAUAGACCAUAUUGAUCUCUCAGUUAUUCAUUUAUUUCAAUCACGUAACACUUGCUCCAAUAUGUGAAAUCUGUCAUAUCUUUUACCUUCAAGAUUCUUCUAAUCUCUAAUAGUUGGAGGUAUGCCAACCGAGUUGCCAAUAUGAAUUAAGACUUUGUAGUAAGAAGCACCAGGGAUGAAAGCGAAUGACAAUGCUGGUUAUAUCAGAAAGGAAUAUUAUGGAUUAUAGAGAUCGUACGCUCUAGUUUUCUUUUUGAUGAUUCCGAGGACGGAAUCUUUUUAAGGGGGGUAGAUUGUGACGACCCGGAUUUUCAGAAAUUAUUUUAUUAUUUUUAUUCAUGAUUAUUCGAGACAAAUGAGGAAUAAAUUUCAAUAUUUUAUUCUAGUUUGAUAAUUUUCAAAAAUAUUUGUUUAAAUUAUUUUCCUAGUCAUUGUGAUUAUGAGAAAAUAUCUGUUGAUUGUACAAUUAUAUGUUACGAGAUUUAAUUGAAUUAGUUGUCUACUAUUAUGUCUGUGUGUGCAUUUAUUUUUACUUUUAAUAUUACUGUAUUGUUUUAUUGAAAUUUAUUAUCCUCUUAAAUGGAUAUUUAUUUUUGUAAAAAUACAAAGAUAAUUUCAAAAAUUAUUUUAAUUGCUCGAUAGUGAUCAUAAAUAUGUUUAGAAGUUUUUAAAAUAUUAAAAAUCCAAUUUCUACAAGGACAUGAUUUUUAAUUAGUUUCUAAACGCAGCUAACUUCUUAAUUUUGUAUAAAUUUUGAAAAUGCUCUAUAAAUCUUGAAACUUUUAUUUUAUGAGUUUUAUAAUAUUCGGUAAUUUAUAAAAUUAGUUUGUUAAUUUUUCGAGAAAGUUUUAAUGCGAGUUAUCCCGUAAAUCAACUAAAUAGCGGGUGUUUGGAUGAUUAUUCAGCUUAAAAUAAAACGUGGCAGCCUUUGGCCAAACCACGUGCCCUGCUUUUCACCACCGCCAUCCCUUUUCUUCAUUUUAUAUACAUCAGCCUCUCAAUCUCUCUCUCUCUCUCUCUGUGAAAUCCUCCAUCUCUCCCUCUCCGCUCCUCUUUCUUUUCUCACCCAUCUUCCUCUCUUUCUUGGCAUCACCGUCCCUUCCCUGCAGCCGCCGAAUUAUGCCGCUGCCACCUCUUUCCGGCGACCACCAUAGCCCUGCACCAAUUAUAAAUCAGUGGGUAUAAAGCUUAAUUUCUCUUUGUCAAAUCAGUUCUAUAUAAACGUAUAUAUACAUGUGGUGUUGUGUUUAUAUGGUUUAAUUUGAUUUAUAUAAUCGAUUUAUGUGUGCUUGUAUGUAUAUAAACUGAUUAUAUGCUGGUUAUUGAAAUUUGAAGGUUGAUUGAAUUUUUGAGAUUGAGAUUGGUGUUAGUAAUCGUAUGAUUGAAUUGUGUGCUUAAUUGAUAUUUGAAUUGGUUGUUGGAGGUUCAUUAUAAAUGGUGCGCCAACUAGUAGUGUAAUCGGAUGACUUGGGUACUUGAUUUAUGGGAAUAUAUAACUGAGUAUUAAAGCUUUAAGGUCUGAGAUUUUGUGUAAAUGUUUUCAGAAUGGUGUUUUAAGAGUUUAAGUAUUGAGCUAAAAAAAAUUUAGAUUUACACAUAAUCGGUUGAAUUGUAAGUUGCUGCUGAUCUGUUUUGCAGUAAAAUUCUGGGCUUCUAGAGUCGAAUUAUAUGCUUAAUAUUUUUGUGGUUAUGUGCUCCUCAGAGUCUAGUUUAUGUGCGCAAAAGAAUCGAAUCAAUUCGAUUAGCGAGCUAGGAGAUAUGACCGUUUUAGUAUAGUAUGGUGCUGAAAAUUCUGGGCAGGUUUGUCCUGUUCCAGGCUCUGUUUUACAGCUUUAAACUUGGAUUUUCUUUCUGAAAAUUUUACUGUAGGUUGGAAUAAUAUUUAGGAGUGUCUCAUAAAAAUUUCGUAUUUAAAAGAUAAAUUUUCAAUUUAUUAAAAAUCAUAGACCGAGGGCUGUUUGAACUAUUUGUUCUAUUUUUCUUUCUUUGCUAGUGCAUAGUAUGAGGUUAUACUUGACUAAUUGCAUAUGAUUGAUUAUUACAUUGAUUGGCUCGGUUAACCUUGUAUAUCUAAUUAAAAGUGUUUUGCGUAUAACAAGUUAGCAAUCCUGCUAAAAGAUUUUAUUAUAUGUUUACUACAAGUCAAGACAGAUUUUCUUAUGUGUUUACUGCAAGUCAAGGGAUCUUUUUAUAUUAAUAAUUCAUGUGUUAGCAAUAGUAUUGGUUGGUUGUUGGCAUUGCAAACAGGUGGAUAAGCUUAUAAACAGAGGAGAUGCUGCCGAAUUUUCGUUAGAAAUUAUAUGGAUUUAAUGCCUAUAAAAAGGGUUGUUUGUACAACUAUGUGCUAUGUGUUUAUGUGACUGUGGUAUGUAUAUGCGAAGGGUAGAUAUAUAUAUAGGUCUUAAUGCAAUUCAGGGUUAGUCAAUAUGUCUAAUCCGACGACUGAAAUACUAUUUUAUCAUCGUAUAGAAUUGAAGACAUUGACCGAGGCAUUAAUCGAGAAGUGAUUGAAAGGGGUAUUCAGAAAUAGCCAAGCAGAAUGUUACAAGUUGAAGUAGGACGGAGAUUUGUUAUAGAUAAAAGUGUGUCAGAAGCUGGCAGAAAGGAAUGAUUAUGCGGUAUAUAGUGUUACUAGGAAUCUGAGCUAAACUUUGGAGUUAAGGCAAGUACUUCUACCUUCUCUCGCAAUUUAGAAGCAAGUAUUUCUACCCUACUCCUCUAGUACCUAUAGAUACUAAAACCUUCUUUAUAUCAUGAUUCAAAUUAUUUGCAAUUACUUUCUUGUGAAGCAUAUCUAGU